ACUGAAUGAAUGGAUCUGCAGUCAGUGCUAUGACUUGGUAAGUGUGUCCAUCAGGAGACCAGACCCUGUGAGGACCUGAGACCCGGCGGGAAAGACCACACGUCCCCAAGGUUACAUCAAAAGCUUUGCUUCAGUGCCUACCUGGAGUAAUUAUAAUGUUUUUAGAAGAAGGAAAGACAAACUGUUGGAGGUAUGCUAGGACGGCAACGCAUGGCUGAAGACCCAGGUUCAGCUCCGCUCUGCCAGUCACUUGCCGAGAUUCUCCAGGAACGCUUGACCUCUGCCUGCUUCCUUCUCGUAAAAUGAGGCU
This is a non-coding RNA of Callorhinus ursinus (northern fur seal), 310 nucleotides long. Lineage: Eukaryota; Metazoa; Chordata; Mammalia; Carnivora; Otariidae. The record is from RefSeq and is a predicted model, not a curated record.